AACGAACGCUGGCGGCAGGCUUAACACAUGCAAGUCGAACGCCCCGCACGGGGAGUGGCAGACGGGUGAGUAACGCGUGGGAACAUACCCUUUUCUACGGCAUAGCUCUGGGUAACUGGAAUUAAUACCGUAUACGCCCUACGGGCGAAAGAUUUAUCGGGGAAGGAUUGGCCCGCGUUGGAUUAGCUAGUUGGUGGGGUAAAGGCCUACCAAGGCGACGAUCCAUAGCUGGUCUGAGAGGAGGAUCAGCGACAUUGGGACUGAGACACGGACCAAACUCCGACGGGAGGCAGCAGAGGAGAAUAUUGGAGGAGGAGGGCAGGCCUAGUACAGCCGUGCGGGGGGAGUGAUGAAGGCGGUAGGAUUGUAAAGCUCUUUGAGCGAUGAAGAUAAUGACGGUAGUCGGAGAAGAAGCCCCGGCUAACUACGUG
RNAcentral lists this ribosomal RNA (431 nucleotides) under uncultured bacterium. RNAcentral describes it as "partial 16S ribosomal RNA". It matches the Rfam family "Bacterial small subunit ribosomal RNA", at positions 29 to 507 of the family's 1533-position model. The record is from RNAcentral.